UUUUCCUUUCAUUACAAAAUGAAGAUGUGUGUGUUUUGUGGUUGUUAAUGUAUGUAUUUUUACUUGUGGCCUAUGUCAGUGUCCUGUACAUGUUUUCCUGUGUUGAACUUUCCAUAGUGCAUAUGGCUAUUGGACAAUGUUUAUUGUUUUAUGUAGUGGUUUUUUUGUUUCCGGGCCUUAUGUUUUUCAUAAAAUUAAAGCAAGCAUUUCUUAAAGAAUACAUGUUUAUAAGCAUAAUGGGUGGAUGUAUCAACAAUAGCAUGAAUACAUGAUUUUUUUUUUUUUUUUUUACAGUGCUUGAAAAAAGCAGUACUACUCGUCCUCCAGUAACUCCCAGCACAUCUGAUGAUGAUGACGCUGCGGAAGCAGGUCCAUCAAAAGAAGUCUGGAGCAGCAAAAGUGGGACUUCUGUAAGACAUCACCACAAAAAACCUGUGACAGCAAAGAAAGCAAGGUCUGAUGUCCAGGGCAAACCACAGCAGGCUACCCCGCCACAAAGAUUAUCGACAGUAUGUUCGGUCCCCCCACUCCAAAUUUUGGACACAUCUCCAAGACAUCAUCCACACUCCCCUCAUCUUGAUUCUUCUAGUCCUGGUAACAGCAUCCCUCCGCAACAACAGCAACACAGUGACAUGGAGGAGACAAUCAUCUUAGAAAUGCAGCCAUUAAGCCAAGGAAUAAGCCCCCAGCACCUGUUAGUACACCACCACAGCAAAGCACACCACCACCACAACACAGCCCAACAACACCAGUAACACAAGGCCCUGCUCAGGUGUUUUGGACCAUUUGAACUAGACAGCAGGCCACUAAUGAAGAUUGCCUGCGUAGGCAGACACAAAUGUUUGCAAGCCUACCAUGUCACCUCAGAAGAAUAACCAGAAAUAUGAGUAGACAAAAUGAACAAACAACCAGAAUUGGCAAUACCAUGGAACUCAUGCGUACAGACAUUACACAGGUCAUGGGCAACUUACAGCGCAUAAUGGAAGAACAGCACAGACUAAUGGAAGAACAGCACAGACAACAGCAAAGUUAUAUGAACAUUUUUCAAAACAAUCAAAAGAUUCAUGAAAGUUUUUUCCAAAAUUUAGACAAUCAAAAUGCUGCUACACGUGAACUCAAUGCCACCCUCACUAACCUGAAUGAAACACUCAGAUCCAUGCACCAACAGCAAACAAGCAGCAGUUCUGGUACGACUACUCCAACUAUCACGCCAGUCUCAUCACCACGAAGACGCUCCACCAGAGCACGACAACAUGACAGUGCUAAAGGCAAAGGGCAGGACAAGCAGGCACCCAAAAAAAAUUAACACAAAACAAACAAAUUUUACAUUUCUGAAAAGUAAUUCAAAAAAGUUAGUAAGUGUAUGUUUGGCAAAAUAUAUAUAACACUUAGCUCCUUGACAAUUUAUACAACAUCAUUAAUUAUAAGUGGUACAAACAACAGCAUAAUAUUUGUACGCACAUUUAUUCUUUACCAUCUUUGUUUUCUUUUGGAGGAGGGAAAUGUUGUUGGAGCUACACAUACAUGAUAGCAGGAAGUAACCAGACCACUUGAUUUUUUUCUAAUCAUUACCCUUUCUAGAUUCCAAUCAUUCUCCUAUCCUGCACACACAAUCAUUGCCAGGCAGCCACAUACAUGUUAGCAGGAAGUUACCAGACCACUUGAUUUUUUUCUAAUCAUCACUCUUUCUAGAUUCCAAUCAUUCUCAUAUCCUGCAGCCAAUCCACAUUACAAUGUGAUUGUUAACUAUUUUACCUUUCUUCUCUAUAUAACAUUACAAGAAUAACACAAUUGAGUUGCGUAAAAAGCUUUUAAUAUGUUGUCAUUGAAUUGAGAUAAUUCAGUGCCAAAAUGAAUGUCAUUAUUGUUGGGCCAUGUUUGUGUGUGUUAAAAAUGAGUAAUAAUGUUAUUACACAUGAUGCAGAAACCAAAAAAUAAUAAAUUUGUAACCAAAAUAAUAAUAAUGUGUAUAAUAAUGUAUAUAUGUGUCAAACUGUGUAUUUACUUACAAAUCAGCAAGUUUA
Molecule: long non-coding RNA, 2024 nt
Organism: Pseudophryne corroboree (corroboree frog)
Lineage: Eukaryota; Metazoa; Chordata; Amphibia; Anura; Myobatrachidae
Exons: 3
Source: RefSeq, a predicted model, not a curated record